UUGGUCACCACUUACUGAAAGCUUCCUAUGGGCCAGGCAUUGAGUUGGGGACAAAGGAGGAGUCCUGGCCCUUAAAGUUCCCAGCCUCACAGUAGUGUAGGAAGAGAAGAGAAUAUGGAGACCAGACGCUUAUGGGCUGCCCCCAUUGGGAGCUUAGAAAAAGCUAUGUUAAUUCCACUUCAUUGUUUGGAUCUCAUAGAGAAGGUGACAUUUGAGAUUUGUGAGUUGGCGAGCUUAUACUGUGUGUUAGCCAUUUUUCUAUAAAUGCCCGUUUAAUUCUUACAACAAGCCUGGGAAGGAGAUAUAGCUGUGAAUUAGAGGUGGAGCUGGAAUUUGAACCAAGAUUUGUCUUGACUGCAAAGCCCAUGUUCUUUAUGUUGGCUAUAUUUUUUGCUUUAAAAGAUGAGUGGGAGUUUGACUGACUAGGAAGACCCUCAGUUGUCUUAUUUAUUAUGUUGUUAAGAAGAUGAAAGGAAGUCUGGAAAUAGGAUCUUGGGAAUGGAGAAAGAGGAUUAAAAGAGAAAUAAGACAGAAAAAGAAAGGAGCUUAAUUGUAAUUGUAAUCUAGUAAUGGCCUCUUUGGCACUGCUUUUCAUGAAGUACAGAGUAGUUAUGGAACAUUAGAGUGACUAAUUGACUUAAUAUUUUUCUACCAAUUUCUAUUUUCCCUUAAGAAUUUGUAUCCUAACUUGAUCACUUCUGAUUGUGUCAUUUAUUUGUGUUGAAAAUUUAGUGCUAAUAUUAACACUAUACCUCCCCUUCUACCACCCCACUCCCUACUUGAAUUCCUUUAUUUCCUUGAUGCCUGCCAUCACAAUGUGUUUUAACUGGGUACUGUCUUAACGUUUUAGUUACAUCAUUCAGCAUUUAUAGUACAAUAGGAAAAAGGGAAGGAAGGGAGUGGUACCUACUUGAGAACUCGGUAUUAUUAUCUCCAUUUUAGAAAUGAGAAAACCUAGGGCCAGGACUUGGCAAAAUGUGUUGAUUUGCAUCUCGGUUUUUCAGUCCCUAAAACUUGUGUGCUUUGUGUCAUGAAGGGAAACUUAGGUUCCUACCCUUUCCAUCACUUAGAGACACUCAGCUGAUCUCUUCAGUUUUGAUUUCCUCUUUUGUUGGAGGAGGAAGCUUGAACUCAGUGCCUCCUGGUGUUUCUCUUAGCUCUAGCUUUGAGAGGUUAGAUUCAAGUUUAGUUUAGCUGAAGAAGAAGGAUGGAAAGCCCCUGCAGAGAGAAAUGAGCUUGCAUUUCCCAUAGUCCCUACCUACCAGCGCUUCGCACUAGGAGGCUCCCAGACAUUUAAUUAACCAACCCUCUUGUUCCUGUUGAAAAGCUCACUGUUCUGUUAACCUUACCUGAGUAUUUUUUGAGAGAUUUUCAUCCAGUUUUUUCUGCAUCAUCUCAAAUUUUACAGUUUGUUUAUCAUGUGCAUGUUUUGUUUACGUCUUACUCUCGGUGUGCUUUAUGUGGGACAUAACCCAGGACUUGGUCAUCUUUUCAGUGUUUGGUAUGACCAUUUGCAAUAGAAGCAUACACAAGAAUAAAAAGAAGGAUUUGCUGAAAAACCAAAGUCAGACACUGCUUUACUAAUUGGAAGAAGGAAAGCAAUGAAUCACUCCUUGGAGAAUCUGCAGAUGCACUCACUCAAAACUUCCUGUGCAAUUGAGGAACAGGAGGAUUCAGCUGACUGAUGGGUGCCUGGUUGACCUCAGGUCUUACCCAGAGGAUGGCAGAGGUGGAGAGACAGGAGAUGUUACGUAGAGGAGUCCAAAAAACACUUGGCCAGUUCGUUUGGGUUUUUUACUUUGUUAUUUGUAAAUGAAUGCCUUUCCCUUUCAAAGCAAGAUAGUUCCUUUCUUUCCUUUAUAUACCUUACAGGAACACAGCACUCGGCAAUUAGUCAUCUGCAGUAAGCAUUUGAGUGUCUUCCGCCUUUAAAAAGGAAUAAUUGCUUUCUCAGUUAUUUUGCUACUACUGUCUCUUCCCUUCACUUUCCUUCUUAUCCUGGCAAAUUUCUGGAAAUAGUAGUCUUAAUCUUCAUUUUCUCACCAACCAUCCACUCCUAAAGUCAUUGCCCAGGAUGCUUCAUUACCACAUCUGUUGUUGCGUUUUUAGUCUUUGGCUUAUGUGUGCUCUCUGUAGCAUUGACAACUGUUGCCAUCCUGCUUCUUGACACUCUUCCCUUCACCUCCCUAAUCACUCUCUUUUGGCUUUCUUCCACCCAUUUGUCACUUUUGUCCAGUCAUCAAGUCCUGUUGAUAAUGCAGAGGGUUAUAGGUUCUCCCUCUCCCCCUUCUUACUCCUCUUCUCUUUCUCUUAGUUUCCCUGCCUCCCUGUCUUUUACCCCUUUGAGGAGCUCUUCUGCUAGUACCCCUGGUUGCUAACAUCAUUUAGGAUGAUCCCAGGCCUGACUCAAGCCCAUAAAUAGGCUUCAAAUGCAGCAUGGCCCAAACUAUACUCCUUACUAUUUGUUUUCCUUUUUCUCCAAACCCUCUCUUCCUGCAGGUAUCUCAUUGAAUGAUACCCAUACCCACAUAGCUGACGAACUUAGAGCCCAUGACUCAAAUCUGCCCCUUCUUCCUUAUCACCUUUGUGGUUGCUUCAUUUUCCCUUGGACAACUGUAAUAGCCUCUUAAUUGGUCCUCUUGUAUGAGUUCUCUCUUUUCUCCAGACUGAUGACACUUUCAAAUAUGCAAAUCUGAGCUUAUCUCUUGCUUGUUUAAAAUCAUUAAAUGUCUGUUCAGUACCAAAAGAAUAACGUUUAAAUUUUUUAACAAGACCUAGAAAAUCAUUUAUGCUUGUCACCCUUGCUCUCUCCAGCACUGUCUUUCCUUAUGCCGUGCUCCAGCCUUGGGACUUCUGCAGAAGUUGUUUCCACCACUCAAGAUGUGUUCAGUCCUCCUCCUUUUUAAACUGCUCCUUUCCCCUUACCUUUAAGGCUCAACACAGUUUCAUUUCUUUGAGGUCACUUUCUUGACACACUCUCCACUCACAGUGUGCCUCUUCCCUGUACCCCCAAACUUACUACAGUGAGUGUAUUUGGUUAUCUGACUUCCUUCCGCAUUAAUCAACAAGACCGUUGCCUUUUUUAGACUGUGUCUUAUUCCCAGAUCCCAGGGCCUAGCACAAUGCAUGGCACGUGGCAGGUUCUCAGGAAGUUAAUGAUGUUGGGUCUGAGAAUGCUGAGAAGAGGAAGGGAACUUCCUGUGGUUAGGGUGGUGAAACCUGUCAGUGAGGCCUGCUGUGGGCAGCAGGUGGAUGUGGCACGGUGCAUUUCAUUGAGAAGAUAGGUAAAGAUUUUCUGCUAAAUGCUGAUCACUUUUUUCUUUUCUACAAACUUACGUUUUCAUGCCUCCUCCCCUCCGAUUUCAGAGUCAGAACUGCCUCCUCACCCCCUGUUAUUUACCCCAACCAUUUCCAUCAAUUAUGGUGUCUUGCUUCAUUUGUCGGCCUAUUCCUGGUGUCUUGAGUUUCUCUUCUACUAGUCCUUCCCAGUGCCUAUGAACAUGCUUAAGUUGUCCCUUCCUAAAAAGAGAUCACAUUCCUCCAGAUUGUCCCCCCAAUUAAGCAAAUGCCCAGUCUUCUACCACAACUAAGUUUUUGGAAGCGAUGAAUCUUCAGUUGUUUGUUUAUGUAUUCAGUUUCCUUUCAAUUCUGAGACUUUACCCCUCUACUGAAACCCUUCUCAGUUCACCAGAUUUCUCCCUGCGACAUUUGUCUUUGACUUUUCUGGUGAACUGCCCACUUCUUUAUCAAUUUACUCUGGAUGUUGACAUUUUCCAGGCUUCUGCUCCAUUUAACUACCCUCUGAAUGUUACCUCAUUAAUAAUGCCUUCAGCUCUCACUCUACACAGAAAACUUCCAAAUCUCUAGCUCUAAGCAGAUCUUUUGAUCCUACAGUUUUCUGCUUAGUGGACACCUUUCCUAUCUGGUUGUCAUGAAAUCACCUCAGACUUAACCUAUUCUAUACUGCAUCCAUGGUUUAUUUUCUUGUUCCCAUCCAGUGUGUCUUCCAUAUCUUGGGAAUGGCCUAGCAUUAGGUGGGUAAGCCAGAAAUCCUAAACUCAUCUUCACACUCCUUCCUCUACACCUCUCACAUCUACUCCGUCCAUUUUCACCAAUGAAAAUCCUGUCUCUUCUCUUUACCCCCUGCCAUAUCCUGAGUAUAGCCCUCUCCCUUCAGGAUUUUUGCUCAUGUCCCAGCUUUCUGACUCUAACUUCUCCCGGCUUCCCUCAUCCUUCACACUGUCCUGUAUACAGUUUUCAGAGUCAUUUUUCUAAAAUUGAAAUUUGAUCAUGUCAUUUCUUUGUUUUAAACAUUCACUGGCCUUCUAGUUUUUACAGGUUAGUGGUCAAAAUUCUUAGACCAGCAUCAAAGCCUUUCAAAAUUGGGCCAUACUUAAAAAAAAAAAAAAAAAAAAA
Long non-coding RNA from Myotis myotis, 4416 nucleotides. RefSeq lists it as uncharacterized. The transcript is spliced from 2 exons. The record is from RefSeq and is a predicted model, not a curated record. NCBI's taxonomy places the organism in Eukaryota, Metazoa, Chordata, Mammalia, Chiroptera, Vespertilionidae.